GUGUCAGCAGCCGCGGUAAUACGAAGGGUCCAAGCGUUAUCCGGAUUUAUUGGGUUUAAAGGGUGCGUAGGCGGGUUGUUAAGUCAGUGGUGAAAUCUUGCAGCUUAACUGUAAAAUUGCCAUUGAUACUGACGAUCUUGAGUACACUUGAAGUGGGCGGAAUAUGUCAUGUAGAGGUGAAAUUCUUAGAGAUGACAUAGAACACCGAUUGCGAAGGCAGCUCACUAAAUUGUAACUGACGCUGAGGCACGAAAGCGUGGGGAUCAAACAGGAUUAGAAACCCCUGUAGUCC
This 292-nucleotide ribosomal RNA is filed under the name uncultured bacterium. RNAcentral describes it as "partial 16S ribosomal RNA". It matches the Rfam family "Bacterial small subunit ribosomal RNA", at positions 505 to 796 of the family's 1533-position model. The record is from RNAcentral.